CACUGAUCACACAAUGGACAGUUCCAUCGGACUUCUACAUGUCAGACCACAGAAUCAUCGAAUUUGUGCUAGGAGCGAAAUGCGAUCUUCAGCGGAACCCCAGGAAUACGAACAGGCUAAACGGCGUUCUUACUGCUGACAUCGUUAACUCUAGCUGUAACGGCCAGGCCGAAAGGUAUGGUCAAAAUCGUGUGGUGGCCUGGGGAUCUCUCAACGCUAAGGAAAGAGGUGCUAGGUGCAAGGCUAGGUACACACAUCGCUGGGAGGUCUUAGGACCUUGGCCAGUGGUGCACAGCGUCGACUGAGCUACCAAAACCGGCGCAACAUUUUUUUGUCUUAGUAUGUGUAUGUCGCAACAGUUCGCUAGCUGCGCACACACGACUUGUUGUAUGUCAAAGCCGAGUAGCUUCCGGAGACUCCCAGCACGAUUUUCCGCGGCUUCUUGUUUGAUGCUGUAAAAGCCUAAGGUGUUUUGUUUAUGUUUAUCCAACCAUGUAACAACAUGAAAAUUAAAAGCUAAAAAUGAAGCAUAUGUAAAGAUACAUUUUUCAUCCACCUCUGAAAUCCUCCCGGCACAAUUGAAAUGAAAAAACUUCGCUUAUUUCACUAACAAAUCUUUGAUUUUAUUUUUCUUCUCUAUCUACUGAUAAUUUUAUGUAUGUAUUAUAACUAUGUAUAUAUGUAUUUGCUUAUAACCUAGCGGCUCAACAUCUUUCACUUGUUCUCUUAUAAAAAACAAACAGCACAGUACAGUAUGCGAUUGUAAAUACAUUGUAAUGUAUGUAUACGCUCCUCAUUCCACAUUGAAUUGUAUUACAUACUCACUAAUUUUUUUGUUUAGUUUUCAUUCAUACUUAAUAUGCGAUAUAACAUACAAAUAACUCAUGCCUAAAUUUGUAACAUUGGUAAGCUUUUUUAUUUUAUUUUUUGUUUUAAAUAUCAACACUUUUUGACACUUGUUACUUAAGCAGCUCUAUUCCCAAGUAAUCACAAAACUUAUCUCGCAUCACUAAUGUGAUAACUACACUAAGAAAUAAUAGAUUUUAAGAGCUUAAGAAAUGCAAAAAUAUAAAUAAAAAUGUUCUUCAUAUAUUUUUAUAUAUAAAAUAUGUUUUUUGCGGCACAUUUGUAAGCACAAUAGUGAUGCGAGGAGUUUCGUGAUUGCGUAGGAACAGAGCUGUAAGUGUUGUUAGAAUUUUGCGACAUUAUAUUUUAUUUAAGUCAAAAGCGGCGUCAUAUUUUUGUAUACAUUUAAUGGUCUGAAUAAAAAAAA
Long non-coding RNA from Rhagoletis zephyria (snowberry fruit fly), 1273 nucleotides. RefSeq lists it as uncharacterized. The record is from RefSeq and is a predicted model, not a curated record. NCBI's taxonomy places the organism in Eukaryota, Metazoa, Arthropoda, Insecta, Diptera, Tephritidae.